RNAcentral lists this ribosomal RNA (392 nucleotides) under uncultured bacterium. RNAcentral describes it as "partial 16S ribosomal RNA". It matches the Rfam family "Bacterial small subunit ribosomal RNA", at positions 523 to 912 of the family's 1533-position model. The record is from RNAcentral.
AUACGUAGGGUGCGAGCGUUGUCCGGAAUUACUGGGCGUAAAGAGCUCGUAGGUGGUUUGUCGCGUCGUCUGUGAAAUUCCGGGGCUUAACUCCGGGCGUGCAGGCGAUACGGGCAUAACUUGAGUACUGUAGGGGAGACUGGAAUUCCUGGUGUAGCGGUGAAAUGCGCAGAUAUCAGGAGGAACACCGGUGGCGAAGGCGGGUCUCUGGGCAGUAACUGACGCUGAGGAGCGAAAGCAUGGGUAGCGAACAGGAUUAGAUACCCUGGUAGUCCAUGCCGUAAACGGUGGGCGCUAGGUGUAGGGGUCUUCCACGACUUCUGUGCCGUAGCUAACGCAUUAAGCGCCCCGCCUGGGGAGUACGGCCGCAAGGCUAAAACUCAAAUGAAUUG